UUAAAAAAAACGAUCCCCUCAUUCUCGCUUCCCGCUGAACGCCCCUCGUAUCCUCUCUUGUUCCAAUUUCAGGGUUAGCAGAAUCAUCAUGCUUAUGGUUGAAGACGGAGGAAAGUGAUUGCGGCAAUGUAAGUGCAUAUAAUCAAAUGGAGGAUCUUGUUAAGAGGUUGUCCUUUGAGCUUCGUUCGACUUCGAUCGAAUAUUUCAAAGCUGCUUUUGUUCGCACUGAUUUCGAUACCUGUACUCACCUCCUUACUCAACUCUAGAAUAUACGAAGUAUGGGGCCUUUGAAGAUGGAGCCCUAAUAUUCAGGGCAGUCAAUGGUCAUGCAUUAGCAGCAACAACAUCAACCCAUGCAGCACAUAUUAAUGCCAAGGAAGAACCAGCAAGCUGCUGUAGCCGUCUAACUUAAUCUCUUGCAUCAACAAAGAUUAAUUCAGCUACAACAGCAACAUCAACAAUUUUCACCCCAGAACUUGCCUCUCACUAGUUACCUUUCAUGUGCUUGGCUAUUUUAAUAAUGUUUCAGAGAAUCUCAGAGUUGGACCUCUUCUAUAUUUUGUUGUCAAGCAUUAUAACUACAGGUACCAUUUUGUCUCUCAUCAAGCAUAUACUCAUUCACUUGAAAUUGUUUUAUGAGAAGUUCACAAUUUUCUAUUUUCAGUGGAGUUUGUUUAGGAAAAGUUUUUUUAUUAAACAAUUUUCCCUUCUGCUUCUGUUUAGCCUAUAACUGUUAUUUGCCUAACUAUCUAUCUUCUAAUUAUCAAUAAAUUUGUUUAAUAAAAAAACUGUUAGGCUUGUUAACUUCUGGACAUUACUGUUAUAACUCGAAUUAGAAGCAGAAGGGAAAAUUG
Spinacia oleracea (spinach) is the source of this 854-nucleotide long non-coding RNA. RefSeq lists it as uncharacterized. NCBI's taxonomy places the organism in Eukaryota, Viridiplantae, Streptophyta, Magnoliopsida, Caryophyllales, Amaranthaceae. The record is from RefSeq and is a predicted model, not a curated record. The transcript is spliced from 3 exons.